UUUAAUUGAAGAGUUUGAUCAUGGCUCAGAUUGAACGCUGGCUGCAGGCCUAACACAUGCAAGUCGAACGGUAACAGAGAGCAGCUUGCUGCUCUCUUGACGAG
RNAcentral lists this ribosomal RNA (104 nucleotides) under Cronobacter sakazakii. Its description in RNAcentral is "partial 16S ribosomal RNA". It matches the Rfam family "Bacterial small subunit ribosomal RNA", at positions 1 to 95 of the family's 1533-position model. The record is from RNAcentral. Lineage: Bacteria; Pseudomonadati; Pseudomonadota; Gammaproteobacteria; Enterobacterales; Enterobacteriaceae.